RNAcentral lists this ribosomal RNA (495 nucleotides) under uncultured bacterium. RNAcentral describes it as "partial 16S ribosomal RNA". It matches the Rfam family "Bacterial small subunit ribosomal RNA", at positions 29 to 506 of the family's 1533-position model. The record is from RNAcentral.
AUGAACGCUGGCGGCGUGCCUAAUACAUGCAAGUCGAGCGAACAGACGAGGAGCUUGCUCCUCUGACGUUAGCGGCGGACGGGUGAGUAACACGUGGAUAACCUACCUAUAAGACUGGGAUAACUUCGGGAAACCGGAGCUAAUACCGGAUAAUAUAUUGAACCGCAUGGUUCAAUAGUGAAAGACGGUUUUGCUGUCACUUAUAGAUGGAUCCGCGCCGCAUUAGCUAGUUGGUAAGGUAACGGCUUACCAAGGCAACGAUGCGUAGCCGACCUGAGAGGGUGAUCGGCCACACUGGAACUGAGACACGGUCCAGACUCCUACGGGAGGCAGCAGUAGGGAAUCUUCCGCAAUGGGCGAAAGCCUGACGGAGCAACGCCGCGUGAGUGAGGAAGGUCUUCGGAUCGUAAAACUCUGUUAUUAGGGAAGAACAAAUGUGUAAGUAACUAUGCACGUCUUGACGGUACCUAAUCAGAAAGCCACGGCUAACUACGU